GGAGCAUGUGGUUUAAUUCGAAGCAACGCGCAGAACCUUACCAACGUUUGACAUCCCUAUCGCGGAUCGUGGAGACACUUUCCUUCAGUUCGGCUGGAUAGGUGGCAGGUGCUGCAUGGCUGUCGUCAGCUCGUGUCGUGAGAUGUUGGGUUAAGUCCCGCAACGAGCGCAACCCUCGCCUUUAGUUGCCAGCAUUUAGUUGGGUACUCUAAAGGAACCGCCGGUGAUAAGCCGGAGGAAGGUGGGGAUGACGUCAAGUCCUCAUGGCCCUUACGCGUUGGGCUACACACGUGCUACAAUGGCGACUACAGUGGGCAGCCACCUCGCGAGAGGGAGCUAAUCUCCAAAAGUCGUCUCAGUUCGGAUCGUUCUCUGCAACUCGAGAGCGUGAAGGCGGAAUCGCUAGUAAUCGCGGAUCAGCAUGCCGCGGUGAAUACGUUCCCAGGCCUUGUACACACCGCCCGUCACACCAUGGGAGUUGGAUUCACCCGAAGGCGUUGAGCUAACCGUAAGGAGGCAGGCGACCACAGUGGGUUUAGCGACUGGGGUGAAG
Molecule: ribosomal RNA, 553 nt
Filed under: uncultured Sphingomonas sp.
Lineage: Bacteria; Pseudomonadati; Pseudomonadota; Alphaproteobacteria; Sphingomonadales; Sphingomonadaceae
Description: bacterial SSU rRNA
Rfam family: Bacterial small subunit ribosomal RNA
Source: RNAcentral